GGACCCGCACAAGUAGUGGAGCAUGUGGUUUAAUUCGAAGAUACGCGCAGAACCUUACCAACACUUGACAUGUUUGUCGCGACUCUAAGAGAUUAGAGUUUUCGGUUCGGCCGGACAAAACACAGGUGCUGCAUGGCUGUCGUCAGCUCGUGUCGUGAGAUGUUGGGUUAAGUCCCGCAACGAGCGCAACCCUCACUUUUAGUUGCCAUCAUUUAGUUGGGCACUCUGAAAGAACUGCCAGUGAUAAGCUGGAGGAAGGUGGGGAUGACGUCAAGUCCUCAUGGCCCUUACGUGUUGGGCUACACACGUGCUACAAUGGUAUCUACAACAGGAAGCAAAACUGCGAAGUUAAGCAAAUCCUUAAAAGAUACCUCAGUUCGGAUUGCACUCUGCAACUCGAGUGCAUGAAGCUGGAAUUACUAGUAAUCG
Molecule: ribosomal RNA, 429 nt
Filed under: uncultured bacterium
Lineage: Bacteria
Description: bacterial SSU rRNA
Rfam family: Bacterial small subunit ribosomal RNA
Source: RNAcentral